GCCUAGCUGGCUCAGUUGGUUAAGCAUCUGACUUUGGCUCAGGUCAUGAUCUCAGGGUCCUGGGAUCGAGCCCCAUGUCAGGCU
This 84-nucleotide transfer RNA is filed under the name Ailuropoda melanoleuca (giant panda). It matches the Rfam family "tRNA". Rfam says of the family: Transfer RNA (tRNA) molecules are approximately 80 nucleotides in length. Their secondary structure includes four short double-helical elements and three loops (D, anti-codon, and T loops). Lineage: Eukaryota; Metazoa; Chordata; Mammalia; Carnivora; Ursidae. The record is from Rfam by way of RNAcentral.